This 152-nucleotide ribosomal RNA is filed under the name uncultured bacterium. RNAcentral describes it as "partial 16S ribosomal RNA". It matches the Rfam family "Bacterial small subunit ribosomal RNA", at positions 356 to 504 of the family's 1533-position model. The record is from RNAcentral.
GAGGAAUAUUUGGUCAAUGGGCGCUAGCCUGAACCAGCCAAGUAGCGUGAAGGAUGAAGGCUCUAUGGGUCGUAAACUUCUUUUAUAUAAGAAUAAAGUGCAGUAUGUAUACUGUUUUGUGUGUAUUAUAUGAAUAAGGAUCGGCUAACUCC